CACGGACUCAAGGUAGCGGACCCACACGCACAGCGGAGACAAGGUUCAGUGCACAACGGGGUUUAUUCGAGCUCGUGGUCAGGCAGGCAAGGGUCGGUACACAGGUAGAUCAUCGGUAGCAGCACAGACGAGGAUAAGGCAAACGGAUGUCAAAAACAGGCAAUGGUCAAACUCACACAGGCAGACGGGAUUAUCACAGGCUGGGCUGGAGACGUGGUCAGGAACGAACAGGAUCAAAACGCACGGCAAGGUAAAGGUAAGAAUGCUGGAAAGUUGAACGGGUGAAUGAACAAACAAUCUGGCAAGGGGCUGGGGUGAGAGGUGGUGCUUAAGUACUAAAUGGUGAUGACUAAAUGACAGACAGGUGAGUAGAUUAGAACCGGGAGCAAGGCUGGCUGAAACUACCAAUGACUGCGACAGGAAGUGGUGACAAAAUAAAACCGGAAAUGAGUGAUUACAGUGACUAAAUGAUCUAGACUGUGACAAUAUGUUGUGUUUUUUUUCUGCAUGCCUAUUGUAAUAAGUGUAUCCUUCCACAGUACCUGACGCGGUGCUCCUGGAAAGCAUUCGGGAACAAUUGCUGAACCCAGAAGGAUGCUUUUUAGUCAACGAGGGCCACGCUGAUGCACCUGCACUACAAUCCAACCCGGAACAACAGAGCUCCUGGCGUCGUCAGGAGGCUCACGUAGACCCUUCACCUAAGGGAACGAGACACAGAUGUCAUUCUUCCUCAUCGGCAUCCUCAUCCCUAUCCUUUGAUUCUGAGUGUCGGAGGCAGGGGAAGAGGGAGAAGGAGGUGUUACUGAGAAGAGAAAGAACCUUGACUGAACAACUGACCGUUUGUCAAGAAGAAGAGAAUGAACUGCCAACCUAUCUUCUUCUAAAUAAAAUGUUGUUGUGUCAUAGGCUGAUUGACUUAGUUUACUUAAAUAAACCAGAUGAGGCAAUAUGUACAUUACCUCAAGUGAGUGGCCUGGCUGGUUGUGUAUUUUACUGCAUAUGGCCUACGACACCUCUGGUCUAAACACUGUCACAAAAAAGAAUAUCUA
Long non-coding RNA from Betta splendens (Siamese fighting fish), 1049 nucleotides. RefSeq lists it as uncharacterized. The transcript has 4 exons. NCBI's taxonomy places the organism in Eukaryota, Metazoa, Chordata, Actinopteri, Anabantiformes, Osphronemidae. The record is from RefSeq and is a predicted model, not a curated record.